UCUUCAUGUUUGGUUUCUUAGGUGCAGAGGCCUGUGAACUACGAAGACCAGUUGUCUCCCCCAAAACACACCUGACAACUACUGGUACCUGGAAUACAGACGUGAUGGCUGGCAUUUUCGCUGCCAGUUUGGAUUAUGAAGAUGAGAUGGGAGAAUAGUGAGCUGGAUUGAAAC
Molecule: long non-coding RNA, 174 nt
Filed under: Mustela putorius furo (domestic ferret)
Lineage: Eukaryota; Metazoa; Chordata; Mammalia; Carnivora; Mustelidae
Description: lncRNA (ENSMPUG00000029279.1)
Source: RNAcentral